GCGCUUCGCGCCUGGCUCCAAACGGGGUGUUCCUUGCGUGGGCACCGGUUUUUUUGGAAUUUUUAUUUUUCCGAAAAAAUCGGCGCCCGCGCAAGGAACACCCCGUUUGGAGCCAGGCGCGAAGCGC
RNAcentral lists this unclassified non-coding RNA (127 nucleotides) under Candidatus Kentrum sp. SD. Its description in RNAcentral is "Candidatus Kentron sp. SD microRNA MIR1122". Lineage: Bacteria; Pseudomonadati; Pseudomonadota; Gammaproteobacteria. The record is from RNAcentral.